This 390-nucleotide long non-coding RNA is filed under the name Mytilus galloprovincialis (Mediterranean mussel). The record is from RNAcentral. Lineage: Eukaryota; Metazoa; Mollusca; Bivalvia; Mytilida; Mytilidae.
CUUACUCUAAGAUCAAUUAUGAAUAAUAAGAACUCAUGAACCUUAAGAAAUCUAAUUGGCAUUUCUGACGCGAAAUUUUCAAUUGGCAGGUCCGAGACCACAGUCAAUUCGUAGUGCAUUUUCCUUAGACAAUACAUGAAAAUUAAAAAAAUUCCACCUGCGCUUUCUAAAUAAUAUUGUUUACAGUAUGUUGUACUACUUUUGGGACAAAUUAUAUCAAAAUUAUAGAAAACUUCAUCAGCUCUAAUUCAAAAUAUGGACAAUUUUAUGUUAAGGGGGUCUUGAAAUCUUUUGACAGCUUCAGAAAUGCUAUUUUUUAACGUUUUUCAGCUGGACCAAAUCACUACUUGACUUUCAAAUUCAUGACCCAAAUUUAUUUACAGUGUAAUU